CCCGUGAAAUUAAUCCCCUAUACAGUAUUACAUUGCUUUGAAUUAUUGCUUAUCUUCUCUCCAUCAAGUAUUUUAAAGGGAUUUGACAGGGGAGGAAGGAUUAGAAGACCAGUACUGACCAAGAGAAGAAGAAGAGUCCAUUGCCAAGCUUUGUCCAGCAGCCAAUAUCUGAUAAUGGAGCAGAAGAUGAGACUGACCUCAACUUGUUAACAAGACUGGAGAUGAAGGACUAACUACUGUCUAACCUGAAAUCUUUGUUUCUUUUUUUGUUAAUGGGUAGGGGUUUAUGCUGGCAUUGAUCCUGUUUCCAAAAGCAGCUCGCCAUGUUUCUGUGAGAGUCCAAAGAGAUCAGCUAGAACCUGAAAAUAAAGACAGACUGCCAUCAAUUUUGUUUCUUUGACAGCAGACAAAUAUGCUUCAACAAUAGUGCAGAGAUUAAGGUUUGGGCUGCAAAAAGUGAUGGACACACU
Long non-coding RNA from Saccostrea cuccullata (small rock oyster), 470 nucleotides. RefSeq lists it as uncharacterized. The transcript is spliced from 5 exons. Lineage: Eukaryota; Metazoa; Mollusca; Bivalvia; Ostreida; Ostreidae. The record is from RefSeq and is a predicted model, not a curated record.